RNAcentral lists this long non-coding RNA (706 nucleotides) under Marmota monax (woodchuck). Lineage: Eukaryota; Metazoa; Chordata; Mammalia; Rodentia; Sciuridae. The record is from RNAcentral.
AAAGCUUAUACAUAUUUGGUGGUUCACUUUAAGGGAAAGAAUACAAAAUUAUAAUUGUAAAAUUAGACACAAAAUUGAAUUUUUAUUUAAAAUAUCAAAAGAAAACACAACAAAUUACAAAUUUCAAAAGCUGACAAAUAUAGCAAAAAGUCACAAAGUCUGGGGAACAAACGUUUUUUUUGAAAGCUGCCUAACACGCCUUUGUAAAACUCCUUUCCUGCAUUUUUGGCUGCAUAGUAUGAUGACAAUUCUAUAUAUUUUUAAUAGAGAGAAUAGAUAUAUAAUUGUGUUUUUCUUUUUGUAUGGUUGACUUUUUUUUAGUUGUAAAUGGACAUAAUACCUUUAUUUUAUUUAUUUAUAUGGUGCCGAGGAUCUAACCCAGUGCCCCACACAUGUGAGACAAGAACUCUACCACUGAGCCACAACCCCAGCCUGAGGUUUUCAUUUUUUUAAUUUAUGGUUUCUAGAAGUUUCUGCCUUCAUAAAUCAUUAUAACAUCAUGCACUUUUUAAAAAUUGUCAAAUUUGGAAAUUUGGGAAACCUCUUCACAACUGGGGUCACUCAGGUGAAUUGGGCUGGCACGAACAAAUCACACAGACACAGAAAAUACCUUUUUUCUUGGGGCUUUUCAGGAUGGCUCCUCCUCCUCCAGCUUAAGCUCCCACAAGGGGCACAAGAGAAAAACACAGGAGACUGGAGGUUGGGG